CCCGGGCUCAACCUGGGAACUGCAUUCGAAACUGGCAGGCUUGAGUCUUGUAGAGGGGGGUAGAAUUCCAGGUGUAGCGGUGAAAUGCGUAGAGAUCUGGAGGAAUACCGGUGGCGAAGGCGGCCCCCUGGACAAAGACUGACGCUCAGGUGCGAAAGCGUGGGGAGCAAACAGGAUUAGAUACCCUGGUAGUCCACGCCGUAAACGAUGUCUACUUGGAGGUUGUGCCCUUGAGGCGUGGCUUCCGGAGCUAACGCGUUAAGUAGACCGCCUGGGGAGUACGGCCGCAAGGUUAAAACUCAAAUGAAUUGACGGGGGCCCGCACAAGCGGUGGAGCAUGUGGUUUAAUUCGAUGCAACGCGAAGAACCUUACCUGGUCUUGACAUCCACGGAAGUUUUCAGAGA
This 405-nucleotide ribosomal RNA is filed under the name Salmonella enterica. Its description in RNAcentral is "bacterial SSU rRNA". It matches the Rfam family "Bacterial small subunit ribosomal RNA", at positions 602 to 1006 of the family's 1533-position model. RNAcentral also lists the same sequence under 1 other name. The record is from RNAcentral. Lineage: Bacteria; Pseudomonadati; Pseudomonadota; Gammaproteobacteria; Enterobacterales; Enterobacteriaceae.